UUAUCGGCCCUUACUCAAUAUAAUCGUUAAAAAACCGCUAUGAAUAUACACACAUACACAUACACACACACAUAUAUAUAUAUAUAUAAAUCUCGUGCCGACUUUAGCCGCCCUCGCGAGAAUUAAUAAUCGCACGCAUGUGCUCGAAAUAAUGGGCUGCAAUAUGUGCAUCGCGGGAACAAUGCGCGCGCCAGGGAAGGAAUUCGCAGCGAUUCGGAUCGAGGGUUGACCUAACUCAACUUGCCUCGUUGCAUACGAGGUCCUCGAAACACGGAGGGAACGGAACAAUGCAUCGAGGAAGUGCGGAAAGAGAGAGAGAGAGAGAGAGAGAGAGAGAGAGAGAACGCAACUGCCUGCACUGCAUCCUUUUGUCGUUUCAUCUCGCUCGAUUUUCUUCUUUCCUCCUCCUCCUCUUUCCCCCCACCCCCUCUCCUUUUCACGACAACCCGUUAUUCCAUCUCGAAUGAUGGAAAACUCAUUCAACGUGAGUAACGGUAAUAGAACUCUUUCCAUUUCGAUGUACGAUGUUCUAAAAAAGAAAAAAAAAAAGGGAGGAAAAUCGUGAAAGAAUAGGAAAAAAGCGAAGAGAAAAGGAUCUAGGAUCGUGUACAGAUAGAUGGCGAAUCGCGGUGUUAACUGGGUUUUCGUGUCGAGUCAAGGUGUUUCCUACGUGAACGUAAACCAUACGUCGGCCACGAUACGAGAAUCUCGAAUGAAUCGAAGAGAGAGAGAAAGAGAGAAAGAGAGAAAACCUCGUACGGCGAGAGAAUCGCGAAUAGUCUCGGUAUAAUUCUGUCCAGGCAGCGCUAAUUGCACAAUAACCACCGAUUAGUUUCUUCGUUUCUUUCCAUCUGGGUAAAAUCGAUCGAUUGCAAUCGUUAAUCAGAUGUGUUAAUUAAUGUUACGUGAACAUUGACACAAUGUUGCGUUGACACUUGUAAAUUACGCCCGAGUUAAGAAUACCUAUUCCAAUCAAAAAAGGGAACAUUCCUUCCAAUUAAAGAAAAAAGAUCGUGCAUCGUCGAAUUCGAACAAAAAAUACGAAAAUGAAAAUAUAAAUAGAUAUUCCAAAUAUUUCGAAUAAACGAAAUAUAUUUUUUCAGAAAAAUAUUUUCAAGAGAAUAAUAUUCAUUGGAAAAAAAAUUGAAAAAUUUUCUUACCCAAAUUUUAGUCGCGAGGAAAAGUCCCUGCUCUCUAUCUCGAAACUAGAUUCUAACCAAACGACUCUCGCGUCAUCUGCCAAGAAAAAGUCUCAUUACACGCGGUAAACGCGUCUUAAAAUGAAACCGAAGCCUCGCUAUUUUCAACGUCGGACCGUUUCCUGAAAGCGUUCUCCCUCUCAAGGCAGGUUCGCAAAGGAGGAAGAAAAAGGCGAGAGAGGAAGGCGAGGGAAGGAUUUUCUGGGAAGGCGAUGUACAGUGGAGAUUUCACAUUUGCUCGUUAACGAUGGACGAAUAAUACAUGAUAAGUCGAAUUCGAGGUUGGAGGUUAGGAAUUUCGAAGAUCACGCGAACGUAAAAAUAAUUUCGUUCGGAUUCAAUGCGAUUACUUUUCUGUACAAACGAUUAAAUUUUCAAAGAUUUUCAAAUCGUCUUUCGAAUCUUUUCACCCGUUUUUCUUCCCUUUUCUCUUCUUUCACGUUUCCACUCGCUUUCUCCGCGUGGGGAGAAGCCUGACCGAUCGCGUUACACGCAACUGCGCAAAAUCGUGCGAGCAGCCGUGACUUUCGUCUAACUAUGCGUCUGCUCUUACUUUAAUUAGCAGCCGUAUUAUGCAUUUUAAUCCAUCAUUUCCGUAGUUUUACUAUUAGUAGUUCCCGGGAGACCGGCGUAAUAAAGCUACGCGAAUUUCUAGCACGCUCGUGACUAAAAUUCGAGAGAUGGAUUUAGUUUGAUAUUUUAAUUGGAAUUUCACUUCUGAAGGAACUUGCACCAACUUCAGGACAGAAGAAAAUGGGAUUUGCGCGGUGUUUGUAAAAAGGAACUCGUUAAAAUGUUAAUUCGAUCCCGGCAAAUUGAACGCGCGAAUACGAAGAAGAUAGGGAUUAGACUGAGGAAAAUAAUCGAUCGAUGUUACGUAAGAUGGCGACACGCAUCGGAACGAGAAAGUGUACGAACGGCCUUAAAAGAGGUCGGUCAGAUGCCAAUAAAAGGCAAACGUUCGUAGACGAGGAAUGACUCAUUGAUCGUUGCAUUCAUAUUGCAAAUGCGAGGGCGUUUGUCGCACAUUUUUCGAAAAUAACCAAUUGGGUGGGACGUUUGAAGGAAGUCUCUUGCGAAAGAUGAAAAUAAAAUUAUUAUUGAUUUUAUACGCUGAAUUUCUACAUCUCCUUAUAUAUAUAUAUGUUUUGGAAAAUUUCACGAAACGAAUUGGCCAAAUUAUCUUAACGUAAUAAAAUUGGAAAUACGCGGAUAGAAUUUCAAACGAGUUCUCGAAAUAAAGUUGCAACUAGUAGGCUCGAUUAACGAGAGCAGACUCGUUCACGAGUCUGUCUCGAGGAGAUUUCAAAGGAAAUCGGAUACGUAGAGAAUCGUGAAUAAAUUAGCAAUACGAGUUAGAAUAGAUUAAGGAAUAAAAACUUGCAAGUGUUUCAAGUUGCAAAUCCAUUAAAGAGCCCAUUUCAAACCUGAUUGUGGAUUGACGUAUGAUUACGUGAAUACAAGUUGUCAAUGGGGGAAUGGUUGUCAGGAAGCCUAGCUAUCUGUAAUUUAUGAGCUUGUGAAUAAUUUAAAAUGAACAAUUUUUCUUUUUUUUUUUUUUUUUUUUUUUUAGAAGAAACUAUUGAACGCUUUAACUCAUCGUUCCGUCCAUUUAUCGAACGGAAUAUUUUAAAAACGAUUUUUUUUUUUUUUCAUAAUAAAAUUAACACGCAUAUUCAAAGUUGUAACACGACAAAGUUAUGCUCCAUGCUUUUAAACCUCUUUUUUACAUUCGUUAAAAACCGAAUAGAAGUGUUAUGGAGAACUAAUUCUGACCGAUUCAUAAUGCCAGAACCGGUUCUCAACGAUUUUUAAAGAAUGAUCGCUACACGUGGAUUAUCAGAAGCAAACGAUUCAAAGGUUUGAAAAAUAUACAGGAUAAUUCUGAAUUAUCGUGGAAUUGCCUUUUUCAACCACUUUUAACUCGUGCGAAAAAUAACAAUUGGUUCGAGAUUUAGCACGGGACGGCGAAAAAGCUAGCCGAUUGACGGACAAGCGGCGAAUGAAUCAUUCGGUUGAAUCAUUUCGGACGUUUACGAUGCGAGGGCGUGCGGCCUGUUGUCGCCGCGCAUUGAAACGAGCGGCCGUCGGGAGAAGGAAAGUCCCGAUGGUGAACGAACCAGGCUGCGCGGCGUGGCGUGGCUCGAAGCAGAAGCGUGAACAAUGCGGAAGAAUAUUUUGUCGAAAAGAUAGUUGACAGUUUCCGCGUUUCGAUUCGAGGGAAUUAAAAACAGGAGGAGGAGAGAUACCUUUCCCUUUCCCUUGAAGAUCCUUGCUCCUCACAAAUAUCCAUGUGUGCGUGUUUUUGUGCAAGAUAAUUUCGUCAUGAAAAAUGUGUAUCAAGUCGUCCAUAAGAAUAAUUUACAAAAAUAUAAUAAUAAUCGUUCAAGGAUGGAUUGUUGACGAGUAAUUUGUCAAUUAUCGAUACGAGCACGGAAACAACGAGGUUAGAGUUGGACGAGUUAGAGGUUAGGAAGAAAACAAAUUCGGUUUAUUUGUACAUCUUAUUACUCUUGGCUUCCCUCAUUACAGAAUCUCGCUGUCAUUAUGUAAUUUCCAGGUGUUAAUCGAAAGGUCGUCAAAAUUACGACCUUUCCCGCAUGGAGGGGGGGGGGGACAGGCCUAGAAAGUCCAAGAAGUCUAGAAUUGUCCAGUCACUCUAUAAAUAACCGGCGCAGCGCAUUAUAUUAGCGGAAUUUUGCAUAACGGCCGGCCAGACGAAAUAAUUGACUUUCGCUUUUACCGAGCGAGCGAGCGAGCGAGCUUUUACCCGCGUCUGCGAUUAUAACGCUGCAUUCGGUAUAAUUGUAUCGCAAUGGCGAGUAUCGAUCUAAUUAGGCUGAUUAAUCGUUAAUAUAUAUAGAUAGAAAUCGUUUAGCUCGUUGAACUUGUCUGUUAAUUUUGUAUAUUUUUGACACCUCGUUUGACUCUCGUUGAACGAGAUUGUUUGAUUGGAAGGAUUGGUAAAUUUGAUAAACUUUAUUUAAUAUUUAAUUUUGAUUUAAAGAUAUAAAUUUUGAAUUAUAAAUUAUCCUUAAGAGUAACAGGAUAAUAUAAUAGAUUUUGAUGGAUCAUAUAGAUAAAGGUAGAUUUGAAUUAGUUAUUUUAAUAAUUUUGUAAUUGUUUCAAUAUUGAUCGAAAUGUUUUAAUAAAAUUUAAAUCGAGAAACGUUGGUCAAUAUCCUCGAAAUUUUUCGAGUUACUUUGAUAUUUCGAAUUGAUUGAAUCGACACACGUGAGUUUUCUUUCAUCGUAGAUUAAAAUAUUCAAUAUUAUAAGAAAACUAUUCUUCGAUAUUUUGUCAAUUAAAUUAAAUUCAAAAUCUUGACGAAAAGUCACUAGAAUGAAUAAAUACCGCUUGCUCAAUUUUCGAAAUCCUCAGAUUUUCUACAACACUCGAAACUUAACCUAACCUUUCUUCGAUUAUUUCAAAUUGGUCAAUUUUUCUGGUUUAACAAGAAUCGACACACGUGAGUUUUCUUUCAUCGUAGAUUAAAAUAUUCAAUAUUAUAAGAAAACUAUUCUUCGAUAUUUUGUCAAUUAAAUUAAAUUCAAAAUCUUGAUAAAAAGUCACUAGAAUGAAUAAAUACCGCUUGCUCAAUUUUCGAAAUCUCCAGAUUUUUCAUAACACUCGAAAUCUUUAACUUAACCUAACCUUUCUUCGAUCAUUUCAAAUUGGUUAAUCUUUCUGGUUUAACAAGAAUCGACACACGUGAGUUUUCUUUCAUCGUAGAUUAAAAUAUUCAAUAUUAUAAGAAAACUAUUCUUCGAUAUUUUAUCAAUUAAAUUAAAUCUUGACGAAAAGAAUGAAUAAAUACCGCUUGUUCAAUUUUCGAAAUCCCCAGAUUUUCCACAACACUCGAAAUCCUUAACUUAAUCUAACCUUUCUUCGAUCAUUUCAAAUUGGUCAAUCUUUCUGGUUUAACAAGUAUCAGAAAGUAUCGGUAAACAACGUAUAUAACAACGUUUCCUAUCAGUGGCUACGCAUAUUCUGGAAACUCGUUUGACUCUAGACAUUUUUCUCCACUUUUCUCGUCCCCGCUUCGCGUUCAGUCGGCUAUCCUUCUCCCGCUACCCGCUUGUCUGACUUUUCUCCUUACGUAACCGCGUAACUGCGGCGCAAGGAUGCGGUUAGACCUUUCGAAGCGUGUUUCUCUGCCCGAUGUCACGUAAGACGCGAGUCACUCAGUCACGAUCUCAAUUUCACUCUCUCACGUUGUCAAAUAAUCGCCGCCAUUAAUCCGUUCGCAUCUCUUUCUCCCGAACGAUCAUCGAAACGAACUUUCCAUCAUCUUUUUCUCCUAAAUCUUUCCUUUUCUAUCCCCCCCCCCUCUCCUGUUAGUUUAGAUUUCAGGUAAAAAGAAACUAGUGACAACAAACGAGUUUUCAUGUUAAAAGAUAUCAAUAUCACGUGGAAUUUAUAGGAAGAUAUUUUUGUAAAAUUAAGAAAAAUUCGGGAAUAUUAAUCGUAACUGGAUUGAAAUUUCUCGAAAUAAAUUAAUUGCCCGACUAAUUUUCCAAAUUAGCCUCGUUAAUUCCCGUGUAACAGACGUACAAUUAUAUAGCUUGUUAAAUCGCAGAAAUACAAACGACGCUUGUGCGUCUAGGGGAAGUAACUAGGAGGGCCGCCAUGUUGCUCGAACGAUGUUUGUUCGAAUAAAGUGUACGAACCGUGGCGAGGAAUGUUUGAGAGAGAGAGAGAGAG
RNAcentral lists this long non-coding RNA (5903 nucleotides) under Apis mellifera (honey bee). RNAcentral's name for it is "uncharacterized LOC107964874". The record is from RNAcentral. Lineage: Eukaryota; Metazoa; Arthropoda; Insecta; Hymenoptera; Apidae.